GUACACUUAUACGUGCCCGUUCUCUCUCCCUCUUUAAAUUUUCCUCUAUAUUUACUAUGGCUUUAUACCCAAAGCAAUCUACUAUAUUUUAUUCAAUCUCACAAGCAAUCAAGAGAAAAAUCUCAGCAAAACAAGUUCCCACAAUUUUUCUUUCCAAGUGCAUAUUAUAAUAUAAGAUUCAUUACGUAAGGUGAGAUGCUCAGUGCUAUUAGUGAUUUUUUUCCACAUCUUUAAAAUGCGCUGUUAUGUGUGAAUUUAAUUACUUCAGUUCAUGGUUCCUUGGGGAGAAAUCAUGAUACAUUUUAAGGCACAAUUUAACUUUUACGUUAUUUUUGCAAUGCUUGCUAGAUUAUUAUUUCUCAUGGUGUAAUUAUUCUCAUUUUAUGUUGGUAAGAGAAUUUAUGCAUAAUUUCAUAUUUGAUUUAAAUGUGGAGUACCAAGCAUCUCAUUGAGUAUAAUUCGUUAUUCACAUCCCUCUUUAUUUACAAGUUUCAGGUAAAAAUAAGUAUGAUGGACGACAAUGGAUGGAUAUGCUAUUAGACUAAUAGAUUCUGAACAUGAUGUACUUUAAUUUUUGAGAACAUUAGAAUUUUAAAU
This 597-nucleotide long non-coding RNA is filed under the name Olea europaea (common olive). RNAcentral describes it as "long non-coding RNA (OEUR_LNC006838)". The record is from RNAcentral. Lineage: Eukaryota; Viridiplantae; Streptophyta; Magnoliopsida; Lamiales; Oleaceae.